UGGGGAAUAUUGCACAAUGGGCGAAAGCCUGAUGCAGCAACGCCGCGUGAGUGAUGAAGGCCUUCGGGUUGUAAAGCUCUGUCUUUUGGGACGAUAAUGACGGUACCAAAGGAGGAAGCCACGGCUAACUACGUGCCAGCAGCCGCGGUAAUACGUAGGUGGCAAGCGUUGUCCGGAUUUACUGGGCGUAAAGGAUGCGUAGGCGGAUUUUUAAGUGAGAUGUGAAAACCCUAAGCUUAACUUGGGGACUGCAUUUCAUACUGGAAAUCUAGAGUGCGGGAGAGGAGAAUGGAAUUCCUAGUGUAGCGGUGAAAUGCGUAGAGAUUAGGAAGAACACCAGUGGCGAAGGCGAUUCUCUGGACCGUAACUGACGCUGAGGCAUGAAAAGCGUGGGUAGCAAAACAGGAUUAGAUACCCUGGUAGUCCACGCCGUAAACGAUGAGUACUAGGUGUAGGAGGUAUCGACCCCUUCUGUGCCGCAGUUAACACAAUAAGUACUCCGCCUGGGAAGUACGAUCGCAAGAUUAAAAACUU
This 534-nucleotide ribosomal RNA is filed under the name uncultured bacterium. Its description in RNAcentral is "partial 16S ribosomal RNA". It matches the Rfam family "Bacterial small subunit ribosomal RNA", at positions 355 to 902 of the family's 1533-position model. The record is from RNAcentral.